This 819-nucleotide ribosomal RNA is filed under the name uncultured Staphylococcus sp. Its description in RNAcentral is "SSU rRNA". It matches the Rfam family "Bacterial small subunit ribosomal RNA", at positions 64 to 864 of the family's 1533-position model. Lineage: Bacteria; Bacillati; Bacillota; Bacilli; Caryophanales; Staphylococcaceae. The record is from RNAcentral.
GAGCGAACAGACGAGGAGCUUGCUCCUCUGACGUUAGCGGCGGACGGGUGAGUAACACGUGGAUAACCUACCUAUAAGACUGGGAUAACUUCGGGAAACCGGAGCUAAUACCGGAUAAUAUAUUGAACCGCAUGGUUCAAUAGUGAAAGACGGUUUUGCUGUCACUUAUAGAUGGAUCCGCGCCGCAUUAGCUAGUUGGUAAGGUAACGGCUUACCAAGGCAACGAUGCGUAGCCGACCUGAGAGGGUGAUCGGCCACACUGGAACUGAGACACGGUCCAGACUCCUACGGGAGGCAGCAGUAGGGAAUCUUCCGCAAUGGGCGAAAGCCUGACGGAGCAACGCCGCGUGAGUGAUGAAGGUCUUCGGAUCGUAAAACUCUGUUAUUAGGGAAGAACAAAUGUGUAAGUAACUAUGCACGUCUUGACGGUACCUAAUCAGAAAGCCACGGCUAACUACGUGCCAGCAGCCGCGGUAAUACGUAGGUGGCAAGCGUUAUCCGGAAUUAUUGGGCGUAAAGCGCGCGUAGGCGGUUUUUUAAGUCUGAUGUGAAAGCCCACGGCUCAACCGUGGAGGGUCAUUGGAAACUGGAAAACUUGAGUGCAGAAGAGGAAAGUGGAAUUCCAUGUGUAGCGGUGAAAUGCGCAGAGAUAUGGAGGAACACCAGUGGCGAAGGCGACUUUCUGGUCUGUAACUGACGCUGAUGUGCGAAAGCGUGGGGAUCAAACAGGAUUAGAUACCCUGGUAGUCCACGCCGUAAACGAUGAGUGCUAAGUGUUAGGGGGUUUCCGCCCCUUAGUGCUGCAGCUAACGCAUUAAG